CUCAUGUUCUAAUAAUUCUAGUCACUUUACACUCUCAUUCUGAUCCUGGUCCCACUGGAAAUCACACCAAGAAAUGGACUGGGAUCAAAUCAAAUCAAAUCAAACAUGAAAUUCAUGGUCCCACCAGCCAGUCUAAGUGCAGAGCACAGAGUGGAAGAACAUUGAAGAUUAUAUAAAGUCACAAUGACAGAAAUAAAUAAAUGUAGAAGAGAAGUUGAUUUCAUAAAUUAACUACUAACAGAUACUAAUUCAUCACAUUAUUUCUCUUUAUGAUGAGUUAGUAUCUGUUAGUAGUUAACUUAUACAAUCAACCUCUUCUGCAUCUACUCAUCUCUGUUAUUGCACUCCACACUCAUGUAGCCUCUAACAAUUCUUCCACAUAAUCUUUUCUACUUCAUACUUCACACUUAUAUAGUUCUAACAAUUCUUCUGCAUAACUCUCAAUAUUCUUCUGCUCUGUACUCUGCUUUAUGUUUCACUGUGGAAUGGCUUCUGAUAUUCUUCUGUUUCAAUCUUCUCUCUAUAAGAACUCUUUUUAUACAAUCUUUUCUUCUGAUCUCUUUUCUCUUUCUUUUCUUAAUCAAUUCAUAAUCUGUAUUUAGGAUAGUGCUAAAUCGUUAAUUGAAGUACACUCAUUACACAAGC
Molecule: small RNA, 645 nt
Filed under: Histoplasma ohiense
Lineage: Eukaryota; Fungi; Ascomycota; Eurotiomycetes; Onygenales; Ajellomycetaceae
Description: hypothetical lncRNA
Source: RNAcentral